RNAcentral lists this non-coding RNA (23 nucleotides) under Cricetulus griseus (Chinese hamster). The record is from RNAcentral. Lineage: Eukaryota; Metazoa; Chordata; Mammalia; Rodentia; Cricetidae.
AUCCAGAUGUAGAACUCUCAGAU